Molecule: ribosomal RNA, 392 nt
Filed under: uncultured bacterium
Lineage: Bacteria
Description: bacterial SSU rRNA
Rfam family: Bacterial small subunit ribosomal RNA
Source: RNAcentral
UGGGUUUGACAUGAUCGUAGUAGUGAACCGAAAGGGGAACGAGCUUAGGCAGCGACCACAGGUGUUGCAUGGCUGUCGUCAGCUCGUGUCGUGAGAUGUUGGGUUAAGUCCCGCAACGAGCGCAACCCUUGUUGCCAGUUAUAUGUGUCUGGCGAGACUGCCGGUAUCAAGCCGGAGGAAGGUGAGGAUGACGUCAAGUCAGCAUGACCUUUAUAUCCAGGGCUACACACACGCUACAAUGGUCGGUACAAUGAGUUGCCAAGUCGUGAGGCGGAGCUAAUCUCAUCAAAACCGGCCUCAGUUCGGAUUGGAGGCUGCAACCCGCCUCCAUGAAGUCGGAGUUGCUAGUAAACGCCGGUCAGCUAUACGGCGUUGAAUACGUUCCCGGGCCU